ACGUAACAAGGUCUCCGUUGGUGAACCWRCGSRGRGRWCAUUACCGAGUUUACAACUCCCAAACCCAAUGUGAACGUUACCAAACUGUUGCCUCGGCGGGGUCACGCCCCGGGUGCGUCGCAGCCCCGGAACCAGGCGCCCGCCGGAGGAACCAACCAAACUCUUUCUGUAGUCCCCUCGCGGACGUAUUUCUUACAGCUCUGAGCAAAAAUUCAAAAUGAAUCAAAACUUUCAACAACGGAUCUCUUGGUUCUGGCAUCGAUGAAGAACGCAGCGAAAUGCGAUAAGUAAUGUGAAUUGCAGAAUUCAGUGAAUCAUCGAAUCUUUGAACGCACAUUGCGCCCGCCAGUAUUCUGGCGGGCAUGCCUGUCCGAGCGUCAUUUCAACCCUCGAACCCCUCCGGGGGAUCGGCGUUGGGGAUCGGGACCCCUCACACGGGUGCCGGCCCCGAAAUACAGUGGCGGUCUCGCCGCAGCCUCUCCUGCGCAGUAGUUUGCACAACUCGCACCGGGAGCGCGGCGCGUCCACGUCCGUAAAACACCCAACUUUCUGAAAUGUUGACCUCGGAUCAGGUAGRWMUACCCGCUGAACUUAAGCAUAUCAUAG
RNAcentral lists this ribosomal RNA (606 nucleotides) under Trichoderma asperellum. RNAcentral describes it as "eukaryotic LSU rRNA". The record is from RNAcentral. Lineage: Eukaryota; Fungi; Ascomycota; Sordariomycetes; Hypocreales; Hypocreaceae.